CCUACGGGAGGCAGCAGUGAGGAAUAUUGGUCAAUGGGCGGAAGCCUGAACCAGCCAAGUCGCGUGAGGGAAUAAGGCCCUACGGGUCGUAAACCUCUUUUGCCGGGGAGCAAGGGCGGGGACGUGUCCCGGCCCGGAGAGUACCCGGAGAAAAAGCAUCGGCUAACUCCGUGCCAGCAGCCGCGGUAAUACGGAGGAUUCAAGCGUUAUCCGGAUUUAUUGGGUUUAAAGGGUGCGUAGGCGGUUCGAUAAGUUAGAGGUGAAAUCCCGGGGCUCAACUCCGGCACUGCCUCUGAUACUGUCGGGCUAGAGUUUAGUUGCGGUAGGCGGAAUGUAUGGUGUAGCGGUGAAAUGCAUAGAGAUCAUACAGAACACCGAUUGCGAAGGCAGCUUACCAAACUACGACUGACGUUGAGGCACGAAAGCGUGGGGAGCAAACAGGAUUAGAUACCCUUGUAGUC
RNAcentral lists this ribosomal RNA (461 nucleotides) under uncultured bacterium. Its description in RNAcentral is "partial 16S ribosomal RNA". It matches the Rfam family "Bacterial small subunit ribosomal RNA", at positions 338 to 795 of the family's 1533-position model. The record is from RNAcentral.